This 459-nucleotide ribosomal RNA is filed under the name uncultured bacterium. Its description in RNAcentral is "SSU rRNA". It matches the Rfam family "Bacterial small subunit ribosomal RNA", at positions 26 to 518 of the family's 1533-position model. The record is from RNAcentral.
AGAAUCAACGCUGGCGGCGUGCCUAACACAUGCAAGUCGCACGAGAAAGGGACUUCGGUCCUGAGUACAGUGGCGCACGGGUGAGUAACACGUGAAUCAUCUACCUCCGAGUGGGGAAUAACUGAGAGAAAUCUUAGCUAAUACCGCAUAACACUUACGAGUCAAAGCAGCAAUGCGCUUGGAGAGGAGUUCGCGGCAGAUUAGUUAGUUGGCGGGGUAAUGGCCCACCAAGACGAUGAUCUGUAUCCGGCCUGAGAGGGCGCACGGACACACUGGAACUGAAACACGGUCCAGACUCCUACGGGAGGCAGCAGUGGGGAAUUUUGCGCAAUGGGGAAACCCUGACGCAGCAACGCCGCGUGGAGGAUGAAAUCCCUUGGGAUGUAAACUCCUUUCGAUCGGGAAGAUAAUGACGGUACCGAGAGAAGAAGCCCCGGCUAACUUCGCGCCAGCAGCCGC